RNAcentral lists this ribosomal RNA (460 nucleotides) under uncultured bacterium. RNAcentral describes it as "partial 16S ribosomal RNA". It matches the Rfam family "Bacterial small subunit ribosomal RNA", at positions 338 to 795 of the family's 1533-position model. The record is from RNAcentral.
CCUACGGGAGGCAGCAGUGAGGAAUAUUGGUCAAUGGACGAGAGUCUGAACCAGCCAAGUAGCGUGAAGGAUGACUGCCCUAUGGGUUGUAAACUUCUUUUAUAAAGGAAUAAAACGAGGCACGUGUGCCUUUUUGCAUGUACUUUAUGAAUAAGGAUCGGCUAACUCCGUGCCAGCAGCCGCGGUAAUACGGAGGAUCCGAGCGUUAUCCGGAUUUAUUGGGUUUAAAGGGAGCGUAGAUGGGUUGUUCAGUCAGUUGUGAAAGUUUGCGGCUCAACCGUAAAAUUGCAAUUGAUACUGGCAGUCGUGAGUACAGUUGAGGUAGGCGGAAUUCGUGGUGUAGCGGUGAAAUGCUUAGAUAUCACGAAGAACCCCGAUUGCGAAGGCAGCUUACUAAACUGUGACUGACAUUGAUGCUCGAAAGUGUGGGUAUCAAACAGGAUUAGAUACCCCUGUAGUC